AUACGGAGGGUCCGAGCGUUAUCCGGAAUCAUUGGGUUUAAAGGGUCCGUAGGCGGGAAUCUAAGUCAGUGGUGAAAUCUUGCAGCUCAACUGUAAAAUUGCCAUUGAUACUGGAUUUCUUGAAUUAGUGUGAAGUGGUUAGAAUUUGUAGUGUAGCGGCGAAAUGCAUAGAUAUUACACAGAAUACCAAUUGCGAAGGCAGAUCACUAACACUAUAUUGACGCUGAGGGACGAAAGCGUGGGGAGCGAACAGGAUUAGAAACCCUAGUAGUCC
Molecule: ribosomal RNA, 274 nt
Filed under: uncultured bacterium
Lineage: Bacteria
Description: partial 16S ribosomal RNA
Rfam family: Bacterial small subunit ribosomal RNA
Source: RNAcentral